RNAcentral lists this non-coding RNA (29 nucleotides) under Rattus norvegicus (Norway rat). The record is from RNAcentral. Lineage: Eukaryota; Metazoa; Chordata; Mammalia; Rodentia; Muridae.
UCUUCAUGGAGCCAUCAUCGUCUGAAGAG